This is a non-coding RNA of Physcomitrium patens, 3852 nucleotides long. NCBI's taxonomy places the organism in Eukaryota, Viridiplantae, Streptophyta, Bryopsida, Funariales, Funariaceae. The record is from RefSeq and is a predicted model, not a curated record.
GAAAGCCCCACUUCCCCAAGACCAUGUGUGACUAUCAGGAGUGUCUAUUUUUCAUUUCAUUUCAUCCUGCCCAUGUGACGAGACGAAACGUCCGCGCACUGGGCAGCUCUCUGAUUUUUUCCGCUAAAUUGUCUUCUUGGAAAGUGCUUGCUUGUCCUCUUUGCAGCUCCACAAAACUGCCCGUGACCUUUGGAAUGAUUGGGAACAUUUUCAGGAAGCUGAAUUGACGAGAGAAGGAUUGUGCAACCUUUCCGUGAGUUGGGUCUAAAAUCGUCUUCAGUCGGAGGGUUCUGAGGAAUUGAAGGGAAGAGGUAUUGCGGAGCAUGCGUAUCUGUAGUCCGGUACAUGUGUCUCUGUGUGUAGGGAUUUGGACGUCAAGUAGGAGAUUUCGAGAGGCUUAUUCAAGAGCUCGCAAGCAUUGUGGCCUUUUGUGCUUGUAUCAUCUUUUAUGGAAGGAUUUGCGUGGUCGAAGAGCCUCGCGAGUACUUGGGACGCUAUUUGCGAGUAAGAGUCUGCUUUCCUUACGCGGAGCAUUUUCUUAAUUCGUUAGUGCGUUGAGUUAUUAGUUUCCGUUGAAAUCUUUAGAAAAGGUCCAACGAUCUUUGUUUCAGCAAACAAUGGUUUCAAAUUUGCGUUGAAGCCCAAGGUGGCAAUUAUCACAGUUUCUUCAUGUACGGGUCCAACAUUGGCUGAAAUAAACCAACGCGUACCAGAAUACGAAUCAGAAGUUAGCGCCUCAGCAUUCUCUUGAAACCAGCUUUUGUAUGUUUCUCUAUAGCUCUGUGGUGGCUUCAAAUCCAGCAAAUUGUAUCACGGUAUGCGGGUCCCAAAGAGUGGCACUAUUAUGGAUGAUUUCAUCAGAUGUUUCUCAGAGGCUCACAACCCCGUUGGUUUUAUGCGGCAAGUAAAGUGCAGUUCUGAAUUGCUUGGACGCUUGAUAUAACUUAGGUAGGCUGUUUAGGGUUUCAGAAGAGCCACAUCGGUCACUUAUAUCAAUUAUAAGCUGGAGAUCUCACCUACUGCGUUACUCUUCUAUACUUCAUCAUGAAAUUGGCGAAUCUCGGUUAGAAUUGACUGCACCUACGGAAGCCUUAUGAGGUCGAAAUAUCAUGUUCUGUGGCGUCCUUGUACUCCAGCACUUGAGAAUUUUGUCGUCUGGUGUGGGCUUGCCUUUGUGAGCUUGAAGAAAUGCCGAGGCGGACACCCACAUUAUCAUCGCCUGUGUCGCAACUUCGCUUUUUGAGCAGCGGAUGGGUUUGCCUUGUCGUCCUUUAGAUCCCCAAUCUCUGUAAUGUCUGCUCAUACCCAACAUCCCGAGAUUCAGCAGAAUUAUGUCCGAUGCUUCUGCCUGAUAUUUAACAUUUCACAUCCCGGAAAUUGCGGAAGUAUGAGUUUCUAUCGGAAUAAGUACUCUACAGCCUGCAGAUUACGCAAGAAUUGUAGCGUUGGGAAAGGAUUUCUCAGCAGCCUUCAUCAACAAGAGAGAAUCUACCGUACCGUACACGGCUGCUUCGAAUUUCGGAGACGAGUUUACCUGUGUUUUUUCAAGGUAUUGAUACCCAUAUCUUUGUGUUUGGUUCGCUGAUUCUCAAAUCGAAAUCUUACCAUGUGCACGCUAAUUAGUGUAGCGAGAAAUAGUUGGUUGCAUGGUUACCGCUUCUGUAUUUCAGUAGACAUCAUGCUAAUUCCGUUGAUCAAACAUGUAAUUGAUUCAGACAAAAAGAUUUUUUUAUCUCGUUCUAGAUAAUCCUUUCUUUGUUGUGAGCAUUUGCAGCAGUGCGAGCCACUUGAUACUCCUCUCGUAUCCUUAUAGAUAACUAACUCAUCCUGUAACAGCUUGUGGUCAGCAUCUGCUCGUCAAGUUGGUCAUAUUCAAAAAUUGCCUAUCUGCAUGAGCUAAGUCAAGUUUUGCACGUUGAGCAUGUUGGGUUUCUGCAAGGCAUACGCUUGUUGAUGUACUGAAAUAACGGCGGGCAUAUAUGUUAUUUCCACCACUGCAGAGAACACAGUGUGGUGCUCUUACGUCUGUAAAUUGAUAGUCAACCAUUGCCUUAGAAUUUUCUGAUGCACUCUGUCCACAAUUCAUGUAUUUUCUGUAGGUAAUCAAUGCACAGUACAGGAUCUACGUAAAUGUCAUCAAUAUGUUAUCAGUGGACUUGUAUUACGACUAAUUUUUUUGCUAAAUGGUGUGAGUAGCUACUAGCAAAAAUUUGAGAUGGCGAAGAGCAGGGCCGUAAUAUUAUGCUAGGAACAAAAUGGGAACGAGGUUGGUCUUCUUAACGGGGAUCAGACAAAACACAUUUUGUGCAGGAAAGAGAAUAUGAACGGGUUUGAUCUUAUUUUGAGUUUUUGUUAAGCAGCUGUGUACAUCAGAAUCAUCUUCUAAAUUAGAUAGUUUCAGAGUGACAAGUUGAAGAUGAUGUCAUUGUGGUUUGAGGCAGAAACGAGUACAAUUAGGAGAACAUCGACACAUUUUGUUGGUGUUCCUCAAAUUUUAAGGCACUGAUGGCUAUAUUGCUCUAUUUCGACUGAGAUGGCAUGACCGGGUCGCUGAUUCAGUUCAAGUUCAUUUUGUACAAUUUAAGGAAUUGCACUAGACUUAGCACUCUCGCAAUGGCUGUGAUAUUCAGCAAUGAGAUAAGCCGUGAACUUGCGUGCUCUAGCUGUUGGAGUUGUGGUCUUGUGAGGAUCGUUGUUUGUUGGCCGUUCUCUUAGGCUCCCGCACCCCAUCGUGGCCGGCAUUCAUGAAGAAGCUAGAUCCUUUGUUACUGGAGGUCCCAAUCUCGUCCCCAAUCAGAGGGAAUAUGCAGGCUUUGAUUCGCGGUGGCGACGAUCCCUUGGACGUAGGAUGUCCGGCUGUUCUAGGAACUCCAGUACUUUCUGGUUUCUUACACGCCUGGCGAUUCCUGAGUACGAAAUUCUUCUGCGCGGUGCUGCCUCUCGUGCCUAGCCUUCCUAACAGUUCGAUAGACACCUAUUUCAAAUUCAUAUUCGUAGCUCUGUCUCUCUCCAUCAGAAGUUUAAAUUCUGCUCUAAGUUCGGUCACUCAGGGUGGAGGAAUAUUUGACAAGAAUCAUGUCAUUUAACGGUCUAGGGAAUCAUUAGCAACCGACCUUGCAAAGGAGGUAAGGAUUUGCAAUCCUGUUCUGUGUGGAACGCAAUUGGGUGGAGGAAUGGCAAGGCAUAGGGUUUUCUUACCACGUCGUGAUCGGGUGCGGUCUUGAUUUGAAACGUGCUUAGAACCCCUCUUGCUUUUUAUCUUCGGUGUGUUGGGGGCUCCACUGGUCGUUUGUAUUGGACUUGGAGGUGAGGAAUUUCUGCUCGAGGUGUCCCUGCCGGAAUUGCUCUUCGAUGGGGUUUUCGAGGCUCUUACCUUACCUUCCAUUGUCACUUCCGCAAAUCUUAAGCCUCCUGUUACAAAAGCACAACCUCCAAGUCACGGCAGCUGCCGUUAAGCAUCACUUCACAGGGAGUGUUUGUAUAUUCUGUUCUUACGAGGAGAUUUUCUCGGAUUCUUCUUUCAUAGUCGAAAAUGGACUCAGCUCUAUGAAAUUCGUCGUCCAAACCAAUGGUCGUUUGUUGUGGCACGAAGGAGCCGUUUCUUACAGACGUGACGUUUGAGGAUGUCAGGAAACUGAGAGUUGCUUCGUCUAUUCUGUCAUUACUUCUUGAAGAGGCUACUUUUGGAUCUUUAUAAGUUUUGAGUGUGGAGCAUUGCUGCUAGCAGAUAGAGUUGGUGGCGGCAUUGCGGCAGUAGCCAGUUGUCUAAUAAGGCCUUCUUCGAACUGUCCCGAAGAAUUGGAAUAUGGAGCUGUUUAUUGAUUUAUCUAUUUCAUAUCUCACUUUUAUUUA